Molecule: ribosomal RNA, 400 nt
Filed under: uncultured bacterium
Lineage: Bacteria
Description: bacterial SSU rRNA
Rfam family: Bacterial small subunit ribosomal RNA
Source: RNAcentral
CAGGCCUAACACAUGCAAGUCUACGAGAAAAGAGAGCAAUAUUCUGACUAAAGUGGCGCACGGCUGCGUAACACGUAGGCAAUUACCUUUGGGUUCGGAAUAACUCCGAGAAAUCGGGGCUAAUACCGGAUGUGCAGCGGCACCGCAUGGUGAUGUUGUUAAAGUUCUUGUAACGCCUAUAAUGAGCUUGCGUCUGAUUAGCUAGUUGGUGAGGUAAAGGCCCACCAAGGUACGAUCAGUAGCUGGUCUGAGAGGAUGAUCAGCCACACUGGAACUGAGCACGGUCCAGACUCCUACGGGAGGCAGCAGUGAGGAAUAUUGGGCAAUGUCGAAAGACUGACCCAGCAACGCCGCGUGGAGGAUGAAUGUCGUAAGAUGUAAACUCCUGUUAGAGGGGAAG